CCUACGGGAGGCAGCAGCGAGGAAUAUUGGUCAAUGGACGGAAGUCUGAACCAGCCAAGUAGCGUGCAGGAUGACGGCCCUAUGGGUUGUAAACUGCUUUUGUAUGGGGAUAAAGUUAGGGACGUGUCCCUAUUUGCAGGUACCAUACGAAUAAGGACCGGCUAAUUCCGUGCCUGCAGCCGCGGUAAUACGGAAGGUCCAGGCGUUAUCCGGAUUUAUUGGGUUUAAAGGGAGCGUAGGCUGGAGAUUAAGUGUGUUGUGAAAUGUAGACGCUCAACGUCUGAAUUGCAGCGCAUACUGGUUUCCUUGAGUACGCACAACGUUGGCGGAAUUCGUCGUGUAGCGGUGAAAUGCUUAGAUAUGACGAAGAACUCCGAUUGCGAAGGCAGCUGACGGGAGCGCAACUGACGCUUAAGCUCGAAGGUGCGGGUAUCAAACAGGAUUAGAUACCCUGGUAGUCCGCACAGUAAACGAUGGAUGCCCGCUGUUGGUACCUGGUAUCAGCGGCUAAGCGAAAGCAUUAAGCAUCCCACCUGGGGAGUACGCCGGCAACGGUGAAACUCAAAGGAAUUGACGG
Molecule: ribosomal RNA, 577 nt
Filed under: uncultured bacterium
Lineage: Bacteria
Description: bacterial SSU rRNA
Rfam family: Bacterial small subunit ribosomal RNA
Source: RNAcentral